GUCUAUUGCCAUACCACCCUGAACACACCCAAUCUCAUCUGAUCUCACAAGCUAAGCAGGGUCACGCCUGGUUAGUACUUGGUUGGGAGACCAUGUGGGAAUACCGGGUGCUGCAAGGU
Molecule: ribosomal RNA, 119 nt
Filed under: Papio anubis (olive baboon)
Lineage: Eukaryota; Metazoa; Chordata; Mammalia; Primates; Cercopithecidae
Source: RNAcentral